Schistocerca cancellata (South American locust) is the source of this 206-nucleotide long non-coding RNA. RefSeq lists it as uncharacterized. Lineage: Eukaryota; Metazoa; Arthropoda; Insecta; Orthoptera; Acrididae. The transcript has 2 exons. The record is from RefSeq and is a predicted model, not a curated record.
CAAUCAAGGCCCACAACACUCAUUCUUAUAUCUACUGUUACUGAUUACAGAUACAAAGAAACCAUUAGUACAGCUUAAAACUAUCAAAUAGAGCUUUAUAGACUCCAAUGUUUAUGGCACACUUACAUGGCAUGGUAACUAGAGAUUUACUACUACAUAAAUGUUCUUCCUGCUCUUCCAUUGUGAAGCUCACCAACUCACAUGAA